RNAcentral lists this long non-coding RNA (1531 nucleotides) under Capsicum annuum. RNAcentral's name for it is "long non-coding RNA (CANN_LNC009238)". The record is from RNAcentral. Lineage: Eukaryota; Viridiplantae; Streptophyta; Magnoliopsida; Solanales; Solanaceae.
UGGCUGAAUGAAUUGCUUCGUCACAGUCCUUGCAAAAGAGAGCUCUAUCCUCAACACAGAAGAUGAAGGCUGCUUUAUCCUGCAUACAUGAUAGUUCAAGGUAUAUGUAAGCAAUAAUGAAAUCUCCCAAAAGCGGUCACAAAAUUUCUGAAAGAACAUUGAUCUUUUACUUUCAAUCUUUUUUCCCGGGUUUACAUCAUUUUGACAGGUAUAACUGUGUACAGAAAGAUCUCUUCUAGUUCUUGCUUCUCAGCGCCUUCCAAAUUAGAAUUAUCACUCGACUUACAUAUGCAUAUUCCUAUUCAAAGAUAAGGUAUAACUAGGCAUCUGCAAUAAGAUAGAUGUCGAAUUCCAUUUGAGGUUUCUGGUCCUUAAAAGGGUCGACACCAUCAUAGGUCACACUGUCAACAGAUUUUUAUUUUCAGUUAAAAACAUAAACCUUUUGUUUCCAACUUUGAAACUCGGUGGAUAACAAGUCCUCUCAUCUAUUUUAACCCACGUAAACACUAGGCUUAGCUUCCUAAAUCCUAGUGGAGCACAAACUUGUGGCGUGCGCCUAUUACACAUUCUGUGUUGUACUACCUUUGAUGUUGAUUGUUGAACCAAAUCCCUCUGACAAUUGAAAACAGGAACUACCCAAUAGCCAUGAAACCAUUUCACUCUGUCCAAUCCACACCUAAAACUUUUUCUUGUUUGUGAUACACUUAAAAGUUAUGGCACGAGAUUUAAGUUAUACGGUCUGGAAAGCCUCCAUCGCUCCCUCAUUAUCUUUUUUCUUUGGCAAGAAUUUCAUUAUCAUACUCCUCCCGAUUCAUUUUGUGCCUAGUUUGACUAUCCAAGAAGUUCAAGAAAGUAAAGAGAGACUUUUGAAUCGUAUUACCUUAACUAAAGUGCUCUUAAACGUCACUUAUGAUAUAAGAGUCACUGCUAACUUUAAAAAAGUUGCUCUUUUUCUUUUGUAAAGAUACUAAAAGGGCAGUCCGGUGCACUAAAGCCCCGCUAUGCACAGGGUCCGGGGAAGGGGCCCACACAAGGGUGUAUUGUACGCGGUCUUACUUUGCAUUUAUGCAAGAGGCUGUUUUCAAGGCUUGAACCCGUGACCUCACGGUCACAUGACAACAACUUUACUAAAACACAUAAAUUACAACGGAGGAAGUAAUAAAUACUAUGGAUAGAAGUGCAAAAUUAAUGGUCAUGUGAAAUGUUGCUAGUUCCUUAGCCUGUAAUAAAAUAAGCAAGAAGUCUAAUCAAAGGAACAUAUAAAGUAAAUUUCUCACUAAUCAAGUUACCAACUUAGCAGUACAAUUGACAUAAUAACACAAAAAAGGGGCUCCCUUACUUGGCAAAUAUCACAAGGAGGAAGCUUAUUGGAUAGGCACUGAAGAUGAAGCCUCUGAUGCUUACUUGCCAAUUUAUUAGCAGCAUGAACUUCUAUAUCACAUUUUGCACACAAAGCUGCCUCAUCUGCACAGCAAAUCACAGUAGCUUGUGCUUUCUCACACACAUCACACUGAAUCUUCAUCUCUUUUAC